RNAcentral lists this ribosomal RNA (459 nucleotides) under uncultured bacterium. RNAcentral describes it as "partial 16S ribosomal RNA". It matches the Rfam family "Bacterial small subunit ribosomal RNA", at positions 338 to 795 of the family's 1533-position model. The record is from RNAcentral.
CCUACGGGUGGCAGCAGUGAGGAAUAUUGGUCAAUGGGCGGGAGCCUGAACCAGCCAAGUCGCGUGAGGGACGACGGUCCUAUGGAUUGUAAACCUCUUUUGUCGGGGAACAAAGGCGCCCACGGGUGGGCGGAUGAGUGUACCCGAAGAAAAAGCAUCGGCUAACUCCGUGCCAGCCGCCGCGCUAAUACGGAGGAUGUGAGCGUUAUCCGGAUUUAUUGGGUUAAAAGGGUGCGUAGGCGGACAGUCAAGUCAGCGGUAAAAAUGCGGUGCUCAACGCCGUACAGCAGUUGAAACUGGCAGACGUGAGUGGGCGAGAAGAAUGUGGAAUGCGAGGUGUAGCGGUGAAAUGCAUAGAUAUCACGAGGAACACCGAUGGCGAAGGCAGCAUACCGGCGCCUUACUGACGCUGAGGCACGAAAGCGUGGGUAUCGAACAGGAUUAGAUACCCCAGUAGUC